AAAGAGAUAAGAUUGGUUAAUUUGUGGAGGGAGCUCAUAAAAUUGGAUCCAAUUGCAAAACGAAAAACGAGAACCCGUUGCUUCUCCUCUUCAUCCCCAAUACUCAACAUCCAUCACAAAAGCCGAACCCCACAUAAUACUCCCUCCGGCGAGCUCACUUCCAUCACCACCGUAAACCACCCAACAUCCACUUCGCGAUACUCCCACCGGAAUCCAUUUCAUCUGUCCACAGUCACCCUUCAUAAUCACCGGACCGCACGUCCUUCCGCCAUCAAACUCCCUCCGUCACCCCCCUCCGUAAGAACCUCACAUCCGACCCUGCUUCUUAUUCUCAUUCGCACGCGUCCAGCUCGACACUCCCUUCACCCCUCCGUGAAACUGCUAUGCGCAAUCUCCCCUACUAUCCGCGACACCACCUUCUGUCAAACAACCACCCUCUGCUACAGCGUACUCCCUCCGAUACAGUACUCUCUCCUACUGCAACCAUCACCAAUACCUUCAUCGUUCUCAAGUGGUAAACCUCAUCAUUCUCACCAUUUUAGUUUACUCCUAAUUUAUGGUUUUGUUUUGACAAAUUAUUGGUUAAUAUAA
This is a non-coding RNA of Vicia faba (fava bean), 591 nucleotides long. Lineage: Eukaryota; Viridiplantae; Streptophyta; Magnoliopsida; Fabales; Fabaceae. The record is from the annotation of a GenBank genome assembly.